This 525-nucleotide ribosomal RNA is filed under the name uncultured bacterium. RNAcentral's name for it is "partial 16S ribosomal RNA". It matches the Rfam family "Bacterial small subunit ribosomal RNA", at positions 355 to 895 of the family's 1533-position model. The record is from RNAcentral.
UGGGGAAUAUUGCACAAUGGGCGAAAGCCUGAUGCAGCAACGCCGCGUGAGUGAUGAAGGCCUUCGGGUUGUAAAGCUCUGUCUUUUGGGACGAUAAUGACGGUACCAAAGGAGGAAGCCACGGCUAACUACGUGCCAGCAGCCGCGGUAAUACGUAGGUGGCAAGCGUUGUCCGGAUUUACUGGGCGUAAAGGAUGCGUAGGCGGAUUUUUAAGUGGGAUGUGAAAACCCUAAGCUUAACUUGGGGGACUGCAUUUCAUACUGGAAAUCUAGAGUGCGGGAGAGGAGAAUGGAAUUCCUAGUGUAGCGGUGAAAUGCGUAGAGAUUAGGAAGAACACCAGUGGCGAAGGCGAUUCUCUGGACCGUAACUGACGCUGAGGCAUGAAAGCGUGGGUAGCAAACAGGAUUAGAUACCCUGGUAGUCCACGCCGUAAACGAUGAGUACUAGGUGUAGGAGGUAUCGACCCCUUCUGUGCCGCAGUUAACACAAUAAGUACUCCGCCUGGGAAGUACGAUCGCAAGAUU